UCCGUUAUGGUGUAUCGGCUAGCAUCCGUCGCUUUCAUCCGCUUUCGAGCUAGUGUCAGCCUCCGACGAGAGCCGGGUUCGAUUCCCGGUAACGGAA
This 97-nucleotide transfer RNA is filed under the name Karstenula rhodostoma CBS 690.94. RNAcentral's name for it is "tRNA-Glu". The record is from RNAcentral. Lineage: Eukaryota; Fungi; Ascomycota; Dothideomycetes; Pleosporales; Didymosphaeriaceae.